GCACCCACAGCCGGUAGGCCCCCAGCAGCACCAGAGCCACCAGCGCCACGUUCAGCAGCAUUUCCCCGCCCCCCGUCAGAAGCGCCAACGCCGCCGCCGCCCAGCCUCCCCCUUCCGCUGCCGCUCCCGCGUCGCCUGGACUCUCGCUGCCGCCGUCGUUGCUGCUCUCGCUGCCACUCCCCAGGGUGCCUAGCUUCACGUCCCCAUCACCAGCCGCCAUCACUGCCCGCCAGCGCCUUCCUCCUCCUCCCCGCCCCCUGCCCUCCCCAACCCCACGGCCGGCCCCGCCCAUCUGGGGGCCUCUCAGCCAAUAACGUGAGAAGAGGGGGCGGGGUCAGGCCGGCUCCUGAUUGGGUGUUGACGGGGUAACGUUGUCUCGGAUCUCCCGCCCCCUCCCUUCUUUCGCUGGCCGCGCACGCGUGCAACGCCCCGCCCACCUCGCCCCACACUUCCCUGCUCUCACUCCAAGCCUCCGCUAGGUUAAGUAGACGAGCCGGGCGGGUCUGAAGAAAAGAUGCUACGACGGCCGCGCGGACGCUCAUGGGCGGGGCGAGACCACAGCGCGUGCGCGGGCUCCUGAGCGCCACGCGCUCGCCUUUCGUUCGUAACCCCUGCGGGAGGCACGCCCCGCCCAGUCUCCAGGCUCUGCGCGUGCGCCCUGGAAUCGCUUCCCUUCCUAGGCCUGCGUUCGCGUCCGCAAACUCCCGCCUCCUUGCGCUCCCCCCGCCCGGGAGCUUCACGUGCGCCUUGGCGGCCGCGGGGGCAGGUCCGGGCUGGACGCCUGGCGGAGGACGCGGGCAGGUGGCUUGUGGGAGGCUGGGGCAUAGUUGAGCUGCAAGGCGCAAACCGAUGAGGGGCGUCUGCUUUUCACCAGGGCGCCGUCGCUUUUGUCGGGAAACCGGCAGCGUAGGCGCGCAGACCGGGAAGCGGCAAGAAGAUUUGGCCACGAGCUGGGGUCUUCCUGGAACGGAGAGAAAGCACGGAACCCGCACCGGGCUUCUCUGGCAUCGGCAGUCUACGUGCUCCUCGCGCUGGCACCGAGCAGCCACUCCCCGCUGGGUUUGGCAAAGGCUGCUCUUGUAGAAUUUUAAAGGAUUUAGAGUCUCAUUAUUCCUUGAAUCAUAACUUCUGCGGCCGUAGGGAAGUGGACAGGUUGAGGUGGUCUUUCUAUUCGUCAUUCACUCUUAUUUGCAGGUUCUGUUUCAUGUACUUGGACGUCUUUUAGCCUCUCACACCUUGAAAUUCUAGUGUGAAAAAGUGACCUCUGAAGUCUCACGCACUCAACUCGUUUGACGAACUCGUUUGACGUGUUCUCUCUUGCCCUUUGUUGUCUGUUGUCUUGAGUCUCAUAGAAUAGGUUUGAACCUUUCACUGUCGGUUUUGUAGGAGUCACUGAGGAUAUUGACGAGGCAAGUGACAGGGUCGACACUCUUGUAGAGAGGCUGUAUAGCAACCAGGUGUCUGAAGGAUUAGAGGCUGGGGAAAGAGUGGGAAAGCAGUUAGUAGGCUAGGGUAUUUGUGCGUGAGGUGAGGAGACUCAGAGCUAGGGGAGACAUUAGAGCAGGGGUUGGCAAACAUUUUUUGUAAAGGGCCCGAUCAUAUUUUAAGUCUCUGCCUUAACUACUCAGCUCUACCUUGUAACGAGAAAGCAGCCAUAGACAAUACUUGAAUGAGUGUAGCUGUCUUCAGUAAAACUAUGGACAUUGAAUUUUUAAUAUAAUUUCAGGUAUGAAAUAUUCUUUUGAUUUUUAAGAAAAUCAUUGAAAUAUGUAAAUUUUUUUUUUUUUAGUUCUGGAGAGGUGCAAAAACAACUUAUAAGCCAUAUUGCUGAGCCCUGCAUUAGAGGUACCUGAGGGAGAGCGACACAAUUGGUAGUAAAUGACCAUAUACUCUAUCCUUCAAUAUGGAACACUUUUGGAAGUAAAGUAGGGCAUUAAUAAUUAUAGCCAGAGACCAGGAGUUAUAUCAGUUUUAUCCCAGGCAAACCUAAAGGAAUAGUCACCUUAAGGUUAAGGGUUAGGAGAAGUCAAAAUUGCUUUAGGACUUGGUAACAGAAAAUGGGAGGUGCCAGUGAUGGAAAUAGGAAGAUAAAGAAGAAACUGGUUUUGAGGAGAAGAUAGCUGUAGCAGUCCCAAGAGCUGUAUACAGUUGAGACAACAUUGAUAGGAAGGAAGAAAGCACCCCAGAAGCAGGCCACUCCUUAUAUCUUAUUGACCAGAACUGGGCUAUUAGCUGUCCCUAAAGCAGUAACAGACAAGGAGCAUGGGACAUCCAUGAUUGCCUAGUGUUUAUCUGGCUUUUUUAAUUCUUAUUCAGGACUGUGUUGAGCAUUGCUGGACAUUUACCAUCUCUGGUUCCUUCCAGCUAAAUGUCAGUACCACACCUCAGGCAUUGUGACACCGUAAAUCAACCGUUUUUCCCUCCCACCCCCCAGAGGUGUGGUACUGGUUGAGAACCAGUAGCUUAGACCCUCAGGAUUUACCUUGGGGCUGAAUUAGUGUGUGUAGGUUUCUUUUCCAGUUGGUUUGGAGGGAAGAGAGGAAUUGGACAGUAUUAAAGUUCUGCUGUCAAGGAAGUGGGCUGGGGAAUGUUGGGUAGCUAACCAACAUUGGCUGCCACGUGAAGUAAAAAAGUUUUCCUUUAUAUCCUUGAUAAAAUAGUGUCUCGACUUCUUCACACUUGAAGCCUUCCCAAAACCCCAGCUUUUUUGAUUCUCAUUGUAAGCCCCUUGAACUGGACUAGUUGGAAGUUCUUAUUUUCCACCCUAAGUAACAAGCUCUUGUCCCAAUAGGAUACUCUUGCUUUGAGUACUGCAAUAACUUUCCAAUUGGUGACUUGCCGUCAGUCUUUUCCUAUUUCAUUCCUACACGAAGAGACUAGAACUGUGUUCUGAUUUCCUUUGCUCAGACACCAAUCUCCAGGGGUGCUCUGUAAUUUGAAGAGGACAACUCAGAAAGCACUCAAGGGCCUCCAUAAGUCCCUGAGUGGCUUCCCUGCCUUCCCGUUCCCCAGCAAACAAUCCCUUGGAUACCCUCUAUUAAAUGAUACGUUUCCCCUUACAAUACCUAGUCCCUUGCCCCAUAUAUGCUAUGUGUAUUGCACAGUCUAGGACUUGACUCAUGCUGUUUCCUCACGGAGCAUGCCCUUCUUAUUUCUAACCAUACAAAUUCCAUGACCUAUCCAUUCUUUCAAUUCUACUUCCACCUGAGGCCUCUAUCAGCCCACAUUAACCUACCUUCUUUGAAUUUCUGUGUGUUCCUUACCUGUACCACCCAUUUUGGCCUUUUAUUUUAUGCUCUUCUUGACUAUUCUGUUAUUGAAACUGUCCUUUAGAUCCCAAGAUUUCUACUUUUUCCCUGCGGAUGCUUUUUUAUUUUUUUUAUUUUUGACUUCUUUCUACCCUCCUUUUCCUCUUACAUCCCUGCUUUGCCUAGAGGACAUCUACAAGAAUCGUCAUGUACAUUCUUUUCUCCUGUUGUUAGCUUUUUUCCCCUGACACUUCAUCUAUUUACUGAUUUACUUGUAAAUCUCUGGAAGAUAUUAGUACUAGCCACCAAAUAUUUCUAUUUCUUUUUCCACACACGUAGAUUUGGAUUUCCCUACUCCUUUUACCUCAAGAAUGGCCAAUGAAAUGUGAUUGGAAGUGACUUGUGUCAUUUCCAAAUAAAAGCUUUAAGAGCCUGUGGACAUUUAUCCUGCGCUGUUUCUUCCUGCCAACAGUGAUGAAAUAUUUUAAUUAUCUAUUGUCCCAUGACAAAGCACCUUAAAUCUUAAUGGUUUAAAACAGUCACCAUUUUAUUAUGUGUAACAGUUUUGUGGGUUGACUAGGCUCAUGGGCAGUUGUCUAAUCUUGCUCAGGGUCUCUCAUGUGGUUCCAGCCUGGUAUUGUUUGGGGCUGGAGUUUUUGGAGGCUCAACUAGGUUGCUAGAGUAGCUGAGCUUUUCUAUUUACCCAUGCCGUUCCAAAGACUCUCUGAUUCACAUGGCUUCUUCAGCAGAGUAGCCUGACUUCUUUCUUGCAUGGUGGCUUAGGAUUCUCAAAUGCAAUAAAAGCAAAAACUUCGAGGUUUUGUAAGUCUUAGGUCUGGAAAUGACAUGUUGUAUUGGUAAAAGCAGUUACAGGGCCAGCUCAAUUUUAAGGGGAGAGGAAAUAAACACUUGAUAGGGGUGGAGGGAGAGUGACAAAGAAUUUGUGGCCAUCUUUAUUACAAAAAUUUUUGUCAACCACAGAGUUACAGGAAAAUGUGGCCAUCUUUAAUCACUACUCCAACGAUGUUUCAAAUUGAGUGGGCUUCCAUCAGCCAGGGUCUCGGAGACAGGACAAAGUGGAAAACAGCUCCCAAAUAACAUACCUAGGUAUAUGAAUAAGAAAUACAUCUCUGCUGUCCUGAGUCACUUAGCUAUUUGGAGUUGUUUGGUAUCAACUUUUGCAUACUAAUAUAAAAAUUGGUACUGGAAAUAGGGUGGUGCUAUAACAAAAAUCUAAAAUAUGAGUCACUGACAUAUAUAAUAAUUGAGUUAGAAAUACUAGUGGUUGGUUGUUAGGCAGCAUCCAGCUUUGACUCACUUAUGCAUUUCCCAGUGAACCUAGCUCAGAAGUUUGCACCAUGAUAUUCAAUAAAUAAUUCUUAAAUAAGAGAGAUUGUUUCUUGUAAUUUUUCCCUAUUUUAGGGAAAAACUUUUUUUUUUUUUCCAUAUCACAUUUUUCUUGAAACAUUGGAGUGCCACGAACAUAUCAUUUGAUGCUCUGUUUGAGUGCCACCAGUGAGUUUCCCGAUGUUUAAGUUUGGCUCGUGGGCAGCCCACCUUCUUCCUCUCCACUUUCUCUUGGGAGCCAUCCUGCUCAUGGAAAGUGUGCUUUCUCCUCUGCUACCUCACACAAGUUUCAAAGGAGCUUGCUCCUGCCAGGGGAGGCUUGGGGUAAGCCAAACAGCAUCAGCUCCCCGGGGGAAGGGAAAUUUCAGGUUUGGAGCUAAGUUCACUUCCAGGGAGUGACAAAGCCUGUUUGAACUUUAAUUCACAGAGUAAAAGAGUUCAAUGUUGGCCAUUAAUGAUUUGGACUUUAACAUGAAGUUGGUACUGAUUACUUUGGGCCAUAAUUUAGAAGGACAGAGUGAUUUAAUCUCUGAACUUUUAAUUUCUCUCUGGAAAAUUAAUACUGGGAGAGGGUUAAAAUCAAAUUGAGAACAUCUUGUUGGUUCUUAGUUAUUAAAGUAUUUGAUCACAUUUUAGAAAUUCUGAUAACUUUGGGCAAGCUGACAGGACAUAGUUUGAGAUGGCGAUAGAACAUAUUGUGAAUUACAGCCUUGGAUACAGAAUAGCAUUGGAACUGAUUUAAUCGAUAAAUUGUUCUGACCCAUUCAGGGCAUUUUGGGGACAGACUCUACAGUUUACUAGUGGCCCCAGGACAUCCUGCAAAAGAGGUGAAAUCAGUAUUGGAGAAGUGGUCUCAUGAAGAUGGGAGCACGACUACUACAAUUGACUGCUGACUUCUCACCCAAGGAAGUAACUGUAUCCCAGCCUAAUCUCAGUGGAUAAGCCCACAGGGUUAAGGUCCUCACAACAUUGUGCAACAAGUGUGAAAGAUGUAGUCUCCAUUUACGGCUACUGAAAUAGGCUGAGAGAGGAGAGAGAGACUAAUGGCCCCAGCUCCUCAUGUGGUCUCAUUUUCCAGUUGCCCCAAAACUUUCUGCUCUGAGACCCACUAUGGCUCUUCUUUCUGCACCUCUCACCUGGUGAAGCGACCUGUGGCCCCACUGAUGCUCAGGCUGUGACAGUACUGCAAUGAAAAGAGAGACCAGGGUCUGGAGGUCCCAACAGCAAGUAGUGCUUCUAGAGAGAACUCCUCCCCAGCCAGCACUGCUCAUUGAACAGCUUACAACCCAUGAUGAGCUGUUUUUCUAGGAGGCCCUCUUCCAUUCCCCAGGCCCAAACGCCUCUGUGAGAUAUGGGACUAAACAAUGACCCACACCUCUUGGCUAAACACUCUGGAUAACACUGGUUACUCAGCUUCCUCUAGCCUUCCAGGACAGCUCACAACAUACCCCACAUUCCAAUAACCUCAGUGCUAGAAGUCCACACCUCCUAGAUCAUUAUCGCUUGUCUCAACACUGCUUUUUACCUUCCCCACUCUAUCUUGUUUAUGCUGCUCUGCAAUCUCAGACUCCUCCACUGCCCUCUAUAAUUCUUGGUUUUCCAUUACCAAACUUUUCUACAUCCCAAAACUGCUCUCUGAACAUUUGCUUCCCCUUCUUCCUCUAACUGAAACUUGGCUGUUCCCUGAGGAAAUUUCUUUCCUAGAAGCAGUUUCCUCCCAAAUGGAAGAUGUCUUGUCUUUCUGUCAGAGGUGUUCGAGCUAGAGUGACUCCAUCAUGAGCAGGGGCUGGAUAAAAUGAGGCUGAGACCUACUGGACCACAUUCCCAGGAGGUUAGGCAUUUGUAGUCACAAGAUGAGAUAGGAGGUCAGCAGGACUGGUAUCACAAGAUUCAGGCAAAACAGGACACCAUAAAGAAGCCAGCCAAACCCCACCAAAACCAAGAUGGCAGUGAAAGUGAUACCUGGCCAUCCUCACUGCUCAUUAUACACUAACUGAAUGCAUUAGCAUGCUAAAAGACACUCCCACCAGUGCCAUGACAGUUUACAAUACCAUGGCAACGUCUGGAAGUUACCUUAUACAUUCUAAAAAGGGGAGGAACCCUUUUUGGAACCAUUCUGGGAAUUGUCUGCCCCUUUCCCAGAAAACUCAUGAAUAAUCUACCCCUUGUUUAUCAUAUAAUCAAGAAAUAAUCAUAAAAAUAGCCAACCAGUAGCCCUUGGGGCUGCUCUGUCUAUGGAGCAGCGAUUCUUUUGUUUCUUUACUUCACUCAUGAACUUGCCUUCAGUUUACUCUGUGGACUCACCCUGGAUUCCUUCUUGCACAAGGUCCAAGAACCCUCUCUUGGGGUCUGCAUCGGGACCCCUUUCUGGUAAACCUUUAUUUGGCUGUAGGUAGAGUAAGUAUCUUUUUUCUUCCUAUUGAUCCUUCCAAACUAUCUAUCCUUCUUUUGACUUUGAAAACCCUAAGUCUGUUGAGUUCAUGUCUUCAGACUUUACCACCUAAUCUCUCUUCUAAUAGUUGUCAUCUUUCAGAAUCUCUUGCUGUCUCUCAUCAUUCUUUGAUGACUUUAUCAUCUAGUUUAUUGUAUUUGAUUUCCUCCAUUAUUCCUACAAUCCUGUUGGUUUUGCUGUCCUUGUAGAUUAUCCACCCAGUACCCUGGUCUCUCAAUUUCUUGAACUUCUCUACUUCAAAUAUCUUCACUCCACUGCAACCAGCCACUGCCAUUCUUACAGCCACACCAUAGACAUUAUUAACAGUCAAUACCAAUAGCCUUUAAAAUCUCUGGACAGCAAUCACUAUCCUGCUGUCUGAUUAUCACAUUUUGAGUCUCUAUCUCACUCCUACCAGUUCCCUUGGAACUGUUCUUUGACCCUAUAGGGACAUUCAAUCCAUUGAUCCUGCUGAUUUUAUUUUUUAAUUUCCCUAACUUUCAUAUUGUUAUUUAUCUUCUUGUUAAGCUAGCUUCCAUGGUCUGGCACUUGAGCCAGAUUCUUGCAGAAAACCUGAACUUUCUUGUUUUCCUUUCUCUCCACUGAACACAUCUGAAAAAACUCACCCCUUGUGAAACCCAGUUAUCCUCCUAUGCUGUAACUACACCUGAGAAACUAAUGUUACUAGAGGAAAUUCAUACAACCAUGAUGACUGGACUUGCCUAAAGUUUUCCACUGUAAAUCCCAAAUGGAAUCCAAUGCUGCUAGAUGAUGCUGUUUCACUUCCUUGGUACAUUCACCCUCCUACACUCUAGGACAAUCUUUCUUCUAAAACCUCCAUUCUUUCAUCCCAUUCACUCUCAGCCAAUAACCUCGGCCAAGGAAAUGUAGCUAACUUAGAAUUGCCUCAUCUUCCCAUCACUAAACCUACCAAUCUACUUGCAUCUGUACCCUCCAUGUAUUUUAUGUUUCUUUCUGAACACUGGAAGUAGUGUUUCUACUUCUGAUGUCCAGCCCCUCUGUUAGCGUCUUAGAUCACAUCACAUCCACAUUUGUUUACUCAAGGACCUCAAUACUGGAGUUACCCUCUCUCUUCUUAAUUAUUGUUUUUUUUCAUCAUGGAAUUAUUCCUAAUGAUAUACAAACAUGUUUUAUUAUUAAUCAUCCCUUGAAUCCCAUGAUUUGAGGGAACCUAAAAAAAUAAAAUAAAAUAAAACUAUAUCUCCCUUGACGUCACAUCAUCCUCAUAUGUUUUAUUUCUUUCCCUCUCUUCACAGUCUUCAAACUAUUUGUUUAUACUUUCUGUCUCUACUUUCUCAUUUUUUUCCUUUCAUAUGCCCAUUCCAAGUACACUUUUUUGUACCCACCACUCUGUUGAAAUAGAUCCUAUCCAGUUUAUCAAUAGCAUCUAAUAUAGUGGUCAAUUUUCUGUCUGAAUCUAAUUCAGCCUCUCACUAGCAUAGACUCUGGAGUCAAAUUGCUUGAGUUUAAAUUCUGAUUCUAUUACUUCCUAGCUAUAUGACCUUGAGAAAUUUAUUGUAUCAUUUCCCUUUUUGAAAAAUGAGGAAAAAUCAUAGUACCUGUUUCUUAGAGAUGUGGUAAAGAUUAAAUGAGUUUGGCUGGGCACGGUGGCUCACACCUGUAAUCCCAGCUCUUGGGAGGCUGAGGCAGGCGGAUUGCUUGAGCCCAGGAGUUCAAGACCAGCCUGCAACAUGGCAAGACCCCAUCUCUACAAUUAAAAAGUCGGGUGUGGUGGCCUGUACCUUUGGUCCCAGCUGCUCAGGAGGCUGAUGCUGGAGGAUCACUUGAGCCCAGGAGUUCGAGGCUGCAGUGAGCCAUGAUCAUGCCAUUGCCAUCCAGCCUGGGCAACAGAGUGAGACUAUCUCAAAAAAAAAGUAAAUAUAGACCAUCUUAGUGUCUGUUUAUAGUAAAUGCUAUAUUAAUGGCUAUACUAAUGGUAGCUAUUGUUAUUUCCCAAGCUUUUAAAUUUGGUGCUGAAAUGGAAGGGGACUCGCCUUUUGGGUUAUGGAGCUGGAAAAUGCCAGUUAAUGACUGCUGGUAGUCCUUUCCCUACCAUGUGGAAAAAGUCUGCAUGAGACGAGAUUGAGGUUAACACAUGAAAGGAGUCAAGAAAAAGGGAGGAGUAUAAUAGUCAACAUUCUUGAUUAUGAACAACAGAUCCAUUCCAAAUAGUCCAAAAAUAAGCAAAAGUGGAUUUAUUAAAAGAUAUUAGGUAGCUCAAGGAAUUUCCAGAAUUGCUGGAAAACAGGCUUGAUAGUUCAUUGCCAUGGACAUUGAAGCUAAGAACACUGGCUGAUCUUGCUGAAAAAUUAUACUGGCAAAAACAUCAUUCCUACUACCUGUUGCCAAUUGAUAUGGCACCAACCCUGAACCUGAAGCCAUAAUCUGUGUUGCUGUUGCCCCAAAAGAACUAGAUUCCUUGACCACUGUCCUUGUCAGGAAAUCAAUCUCCCAGUGUGGGGCCAUCACUGAUUAUAACUCCCCUCCACAUUCAAGUCUCCUGUAGUUGUAUCUGUUUGGCAAUGCCUAGAUCAUACACCUUUACUCUAAAUGCAAAGAAAUCCAGUAAAUGUAAUUUUUUAUAUUCUACUUUUAGAAGAAAUAAUUCACAAUAUGGAAAACUAUAAAAAUGUGAAAAUGUUUUUCAGCAGCUAUAAAUAAUAUGUUUUCAAUAUAGAUUCCUGUGGUAGAGAGGGGGAACUGUUGACUUCAUGUGAAAUCCUUGGAUCCAGCUGGACCUAAGACUACUCUUUGGAACUUCAUGUUUUAUGAAACAAUAAGUUUCUUCCUUUAGUUGAGAGAGUUUGAGUUAGCUUUUUGUCAGUUCUAUUUAGUGUUAUUAUUAAUGCAGCUUCCAACCUUUCUGAUCCAAGGUUCACUACUGCAAUAUCCCCAUAAUUGGUCUCUUGCCCCCCAUACCCACCCUUCUAUCUUUUCUCUUCUCUAGAGUCAGGUAAUUUUUCAUAAAUAUAACUAUUUAUGUCAUCCUUCUGCCCAAAACUCUAAAUGGCUUUCUGUUGCUUUUUGAUGAAAACCAAGGUUCCAACAUAGUAUAUACUCUCUAUAACUGGGCUUUGUUCACUUUUUCAGGCUUAACCUUUUUGCUGAUUUUUCUGCUCAAGUCUUGCUGGCCUUAAUUUUGUUCCUUAAACAUAGCAACUUCUCAUCUUAUCAAGGCCUUCAGACAGGCUGUUUCUUGCCCCUAGAGAGCUCCUUCCACUCUGUCAUUCUCCCUUAUCCUCCUACUGCUCAAUCCCCAGCAAUCUCCUCUUUAUCUUUUGUCUUUUGACUUAGAUGUUACUUCAAGAAUGUCAUUAGAAUGGGAGCUCUUUGGAGCCAGGGAAUUUGUCUGUUUUGUUCACUGUUGUAUGCCCACUGCGUAGAGCAGUGAAUGUUGAAUGAACAAAUGAGGGAGGAAGGGUUUCAUCCUCCCAGUCCGUGAGAUUUCUUCUUACUUUCCCAGCAUGCCCAAAGCCUGUAAUUUUUUGUUUAAAUCGGCAUUCACAUCAAAGCACACUGCUAUAGUUAGGAUGUUUGUCCCCCAAACCUUGAAAUUUGAUCUCCAGUGUUGGAGGUGGGGGCCCAAUGAGAGCUGUUUGGGUCAUGGGGGCAGAUUCAUCAUGAAUGGCUUGGUUCCAUCCUCACAGUAAUUAGUGAAUUCUCGCUCUGUUAGUUCCCACCAGAGCUGGUUGUUAAAAAGAGCCUGGUACCUCCCUCCCCUCUCUCUCUUGCAUCUUCUCUCACCACGUGAUAUCUGCAUGCACUGGCUCCCCUUUGACUUCCACCGUGCACUGGCUCCCCUUUGACUUCCACCGUGAAUGGAAGCAACCUGAGGCUUUUAUCAGAUGCCCAAUCUUUCAGCCAGCAGAACCAUGAACCAAAUAAACAUUUUUUUCUUUAUAAAUUAUUCAGUCUCAGGUUUUCCUUUAUAGCAAUGCAAAUGGACUAAGACAGAAACUAUCAACAGAAUGAAAAAGCAACCAUGGAAUGGUAGAAAAUGUUUGCAAAUCUUAUAUCUGAUAAGGGAUAAUAUCCAGAGUAUAUAAAGAACUCCUAAAACUCAACAAUAACAACAAAAAAUCCAAUUUAAAAAUGGGGAAAGGACUUAAAUAGACAUUUCUCCAAAGAAUGUAUACAGGUAUCUAAUAAAUGUGAGAAGAUGCCCAACACCACUAAUUAUUUGUAAAUGAACAUCAAAAUCACAAUGAGAUACCACUUCAUACUGGCUAUUAUUAAAAACAAACAAACAAAAAACCAGAAAAUAACAAGUGUUGAUGAGGAUAUAGAGAAAUUAGGGCACUAGGACAUUACUGGCAGGCAUGUAUAAUAGUGCACCCUCUGUGAAAAAUGGCAUAGUGGUUUCUCAAAAAAUUAAAAAUAGGCUUACCAUAUGAUCCAGCAAUUCCACUUCUGGGUAUAUUCAAAAUAUUGAAAGCAGGGACUCAAACAGAUAAUGGUACAACAAUGUUCACAGCAGCAUUAUUCACAAUAGCCAAAAGAUGGAAAGAACCCAAGUGCCCAUCAAUGGAUGAAUGGAUAAACAAAAUGUGAUAUUUACAUAUAACAGAAUUAUUCAACCUUAAAAAGUAAUGACAUUCUGAUGCUUGCUACAACCUGGGUGAACCUUGAAGACAUUAUCCUAGGUGAAAUAAGCCAGAAACGAAAGGACAAAUAUUGUAUAAUUCCACUUGUGUGAGAUAUCUAGUGAAGUCAAAUUCAUAAAGACAACAGAUAAAAUGGUCAAAAGAGGUGGGGGGCAGAGGGAAAAGGAGGAUUAUUAUUUAUUGGGUACAGAAUUUCAGC
This 11850-nucleotide long non-coding RNA is filed under the name Homo sapiens (human). RNAcentral's name for it is "HSALNT0322018". The record is from RNAcentral. Lineage: Eukaryota; Metazoa; Chordata; Mammalia; Primates; Hominidae.